RNAcentral lists this ribosomal RNA (460 nucleotides) under uncultured bacterium. RNAcentral describes it as "partial 16S ribosomal RNA". It matches the Rfam family "Bacterial small subunit ribosomal RNA", at positions 338 to 795 of the family's 1533-position model. The record is from RNAcentral.
CCUACGGGAGGCUGCAGUGAGGAAUAUUGGUCAAUGAGCGAGAGCCUGAACCAGCCAAGUCGCGUGAAGGCUGACGGCCCUACGGGUUGUAAACUUCUUUUGUCAGGGCGCAAUUGGGUCCACGCGUUGGCUUAGCGAGAGUACCUUAAGAACAAGCAUCGGCUAACUCCGUGCCAGCAGCCGCGGUAAUACGGAGGAUGCGAGCGUUAUACCGAUUUACUGGGUUUAAAGGGUGCGUAGGCGGAAUAUCAAGUCAGCGGUAAAAUUUCGGGGCUCAACCCCGUCGUGCCGUUGAAACUGAUGUUCUUGAGUGGGCGAGAAGUAUGCGGAAUGCGUGGUGUAGCGGUGAAAUGCAUAGAUAUCACGCAGAACUCCGAUUGCGAAGGCAGCAUACCGGCGCCCAACUGACGCUGAAGCACGAAAGCGUGGGUAUCGAACAGGAUUAGAUACCCUUGUAGUC